This 1842-nucleotide ribosomal RNA is filed under the name Escherichia coli. Its description in RNAcentral is "partial 23S ribosomal RNA". It matches the Rfam family "Bacterial large subunit ribosomal RNA", at positions 1 to 1869 of the family's 2925-position model. RNAcentral also lists the same sequence under 1 other name. The record is from RNAcentral. Lineage: Bacteria; Pseudomonadati; Pseudomonadota; Gammaproteobacteria; Enterobacterales; Enterobacteriaceae.
GUUAAGCGACUAAGCGUACACGGUGGAUGCCCUGGCAGUCAGAGGCGAUGAAGGACGUGCUAAUCUGCGAUAAGCGUCGGUAAGGUGAUAUGAACCGUUAUAACCGGCGAUUUCCGAAUGGGGAAACCCAGUGUGUUUCGACACACUAUCAUUAACUGAAUCCAUAGGUUAAUGAGGCGAACCGGGGGAACUGAAACAUCUAAGUACCCCGAGGAAAAGAAAUCAACCGAGAUUCCCCCAGUAGCGGCGAGCGAACGGGGAGCAGCCCAGAGCCUGAAUCAGUGUGUGUGUUAGUGGAAGCGUCUGGAAAGGCGCGCGAUACAGGGUGACAGCCCCGUACACAAAAAUGCACAUGCUGUGAGCUCGAUGAGUAGGGCGGGACACGUGGUAUCCUGUCUGAAUAUGGGGGGACCAUCCUCCAAGGCUAAAUACUCCUGACUGACCGAUAGUGAACCAGUACCGUGAGGGAAAGGCGAAAAGAACCCCGGCGAGGGGAGUGAAAAAGAACCUGAAACCGUGUACGUACAAGCAGUGGGAGCACGCUUAGGCGUGUGACUGCGUACCUUUUGUAUAAUGGGUCAGCGACUUAUAUUCUGUAGCAAGGUUAACCGAAUAGGGGAGCCGAAGGGAAACCGAGUCUUAACUGGGCGUUAAGUUGCAGGGUAUAGACCCGAAACCCGGUGAUCUAGCCAUGGGCAGGUUGAAGGUUGGGUAACACUAACUGGAGGACCGAACCGACUAAUGUUGAAAAAUUAGCGGAUGACUUGUGGCUGGGGGUGAAAGGCCAAUCAAACCGGGAGAUAGCUGGUUCUCCCCGAAAGCUAUUUAGGUAGCGCCUCGUGAAUUCAUCUCCGGGGGUAGAGCACUGUUUCGGCAAGGGGGUCAUCCCGACUUACCAACCCGAUGCAAACUGCGAAUACCGGAGAAUGUUAUCACGGGAGACACACGGCGGGUGCUAACGUCCGUCGUGAAGAGGGAAACAACCCAGACCGCCAGCUAAGGUCCCAAAGUCAUGGUUAAGUGGGAAACGAUGUGGGAAGGCCCAGACAGCCAGGAUGUUGGCUUAGAAGCAGCCAUCAUUUAAAGAAAGCGUAAUAGCUCACUGGUCGAGUCGGCCUGCGCGGAAGAUGUAACGGGGCUAAACCAUGCACCGAAGCUGCGGCAGCGACGCUUAUGCGUUGUUGGGUAGGGGAGCGUUCUGUAAGCCUGUGAAGGUGUGCUGUGAGGCAUGCUGGAGGUAUCAGAAGUGCGAAUGCUGACAUAAGUAACGAUAAAGCGGGUGAAAAGCCCGCUCGCCGGAAGACCAAGGGUUCCUGUCCAACGUUAAUCGGGGCAGGGUGAGUCGACCCCUAAGGCGAGGCCGAAAGGCGUAGUCGAUGGGAAACAGGUUAAUAUUCCUGUACUUGGUGUUACUGCGAAGGGGGGACGGAGAAGGCUAUGUUGGCCGGGCGACGGUUGUCCCGGUUUAAGCGUGUAGGCUGGUUUUCCAGGCAAAUCCGGAAAAUCAAGGCUGAGGCGUGAUGACGAGGCACUACGGUGCUGAAGCAACAAAUGCCCUGCUUCCAGGAAAAGCCUCUAAGCAUCAGGUAACAUCAAAUCGUACCCCAAACCGACACAGGUGGUCAGGUAGAGAAUACCAAGGCGCUUGAGAGAACUCGGGUGAAGGAACUAGGCAAAAUGGUGCCGUAACUUCGGGAGAAGGCACGCUGAUAUGUAGGUGAAGUCCCUCGCGGAUGGAGCUGAAAUCAGUCGAAGAUACCAGCUGGCUGCAACUGUUUAUUAAAAACACAGCACUGUGCAAACACGAAAGUGGACGUAUACGGUGUGACGCCUGCCCGGUGC